Molecule: ribosomal RNA, 478 nt
Filed under: uncultured Actinomycetes bacterium
Lineage: Bacteria; Bacillati; Actinomycetota; Actinomycetes
Description: bacterial SSU rRNA
Rfam family: Bacterial small subunit ribosomal RNA
Source: RNAcentral
CAGGCCUAACACAUGCAAGUCGAGCGGAAAGGCCUUUCGGGGUACUCGAGCGGCGAACGGGUGAGUACACACGUGAGUCAUCUGCCCAUCGCUUCAGGAUAGCCAUCGGAAACGGUGAUUAAUACUGGAUAUGACAUUCCUUCGCAUGUUGGGGUGUGGAAAGUUUUUUCGGCGGUGGAUGUGCUCGCGGCCUAUCAGCUUGUUGGUGGGGUAAUGGCCUACCAAGGCUUUGACGGGUAGCCGGCCUGAGAGGGUGACCGGCCACACUGGGACUGAGACACGGCCCAGACUCCUACGGGAGGCAGCAGUGGGGAAUAUUGGACAAUGGGCGGAAGCCUGAUCCAGCAACGCCGCGUGAGGGAUGACGGCCUUCGGGUUGUAAACCUCUUUCAGCACAGACGAAGUUUUUGCUUUUUUGGGUGAAGUGACGGUAUGUGCAGAAGAAGGACCGGCCAACUACGUGCCAGCAGCGCGUAAU